GAUGAACGCUGGCGGCGUGCUUAACACAUGCAAGUCGAACGAGAAAUGUAGACGGAAACCUUCGGGCGGAAGCCUUCAUUUCGAGUGGCGGACGGGUGAGUAACGCGUGGGUAACCUGCCUCAUACAGGGGGAUAACAGUUGGAAACGACUGUUAAUACCGCAUAAGACCACAGCAUCGCAUGAUGCGGGGGUAAAAACUCCGGUGGUAUGAGAUGGGCCCGCGUUCGAUUAGCCAGUUGGCGGGGUAACGGCCCACCAAAGCGACGAUCGAUAGCCGAUCUGAGAGGAUGACCGGCCACAUUGGGACUGAGACACGGCCCAAACUCCUACGGGAGGCAGCAGUGGGGAAUAUUGCACAAUGGGGGAAACCCUGAUGCAGCGACGCCGCGUGAGUGAAGAAGUACUUCGGUAUGUAAAGCUCUAUCAGCAGGGAAGAAAAUGACGGUACCUGAGUAAGAAGCCCCGGCUAACUACGUG
This 478-nucleotide ribosomal RNA is filed under the name uncultured bacterium. RNAcentral's name for it is "partial 16S ribosomal RNA". It matches the Rfam family "Bacterial small subunit ribosomal RNA", at positions 28 to 507 of the family's 1533-position model. The record is from RNAcentral.